UACAGAGGGUGCGAGCGUUAAUCUGAAUUACUGGGCGUAAAGCGUGCGUAGACGGUAGCGUAAGUCAGAUGUGAAAGCCCCGGGCUCAACCUGGGAAUUGCAUUUGAGACUGCUCUGCUCGGGUGCGGAAGAGGGAAGCGGAAUUUCCGGUGUAGCGGUGAAAUGCGUAGAUAUCGGAAGGAACACCAGUGGCGAAAGCGGCUCACUGGACCACAACUGACGCUGAGGCGCGAAAGCUAGGGGAGCAAACAGG
Molecule: ribosomal RNA, 253 nt
Filed under: uncultured bacterium
Lineage: Bacteria
Description: partial 16S ribosomal RNA
Rfam family: Bacterial small subunit ribosomal RNA
Source: RNAcentral